RNAcentral lists this long non-coding RNA (629 nucleotides) under Cyanistes caeruleus (blue tit). RNAcentral's name for it is "lncRNA (ENSCCEG00000010916.1)". Lineage: Eukaryota; Metazoa; Chordata; Aves; Passeriformes; Paridae. The record is from RNAcentral.
AUCAGCUACCUCAUACACGCUGCAGGGUGAGAAACUGCACGUUGGCAGCUGGGCCAGAGUAAUUUGACAGAGACAAGUAGGUUUGGAUAGGCAAGACCAGCAAGUAACCAUAAGAGAGUUUUGAAAAGCCACAUGAAGUGCUUGUGCCUCAGGUGGAGCUUUGCUGCUUGCAGACAAGGCCUUCUGGCACGGGCACCUCCAUCACCAGCUCCUGCCUGCUGUUCUGCACAGCACGGCUGCGUGACCCAGCACACCACCAGGCCCAGCAAACACAGAACCACCGUUAUCAAGAAGUGGCCAAUCUGGCUCCCAUUGUAGCCAGUUAGGGUAGCUGCAUAAAUUGGGAAGUCUCCUUCAUGUCCACCUCCACCAUGUCCUUGCUGUGCCCUUGUCCAGAGGAACUGAACCUCAAAGAGAACUGCUCAACCUUACAUCUGUCUAAGGUGCAGAAACCUACACAUGGGCCCGUAGAACAAUGUGCCUGAUGUUUCACCUGCUUUAAUUAAAAUGCAAACAUGAAUCAGUCAGGAUCUCUGUCUGGGCUCUGAUCCUGCAAUCUAUUAAAUCCACUCAUCUUCAAAAGCACAGCCAGAUUUUUAGCUGCUAUAAUAAAUAAUACACAGGGCCCA